This 495-nucleotide ribosomal RNA is filed under the name uncultured bacterium. Its description in RNAcentral is "partial 16S ribosomal RNA". It matches the Rfam family "Bacterial small subunit ribosomal RNA", at positions 28 to 507 of the family's 1533-position model. The record is from RNAcentral.
GACGAACGCUGGCGGCGUGCCUAAUACAUGCAAGUAGAACGCUGAAGGAGGAGCUUGCUUCUCUGGAUGAGUUGCGAACGGGUGAGUAACGCGUAGGUAACCUGCCUGGUAGCGGGGGAUAACUAUUGGAAACGAUAGCUAAUACCGCAUAAUAGUAGAUGUUGCAUGACAUUUGCUUAAAAGGUGCAAUUGCAUCACUACCAGAUGGACCUGCGUUGUAUUAGCUAGUUGGUGGGGUAACGGCUCACCAAGGCGACGAUACAUAGCCGACCUGAGAGGGUGAUCGGCCACACUGGGACUGAGACACGGCCCAGACUCCUACGGGAGGCAGCAGUAGGGAAUCUUCGGCAAUAGACGGAAGUCUGACCGAGCAACGCCGCGUGAGUGAAGAAGGUUUUCGGAUCGUAAAGCUCUGUUGUAAGAGAAGAGCGAGUGUGAGAGUGGAAAGUUCACACUGUGACGGUAUCUUACCAGAAAGGGACGGCUAACUACGUG